GACCUAAUGGCGAAACGGUAUCGCGUCCGCACUUCAUAUAUAACCAUCAUCCACGUUCCGCGGAAGUCCCCGGUUCGAACCCGGGUUAGGUCA
Molecule: non-coding RNA, 93 nt
Organism: Mycena latifolia
Lineage: Eukaryota; Fungi; Basidiomycota; Agaricomycetes; Agaricales; Mycenaceae
Source: the annotation of a GenBank genome assembly